Molecule: ribosomal RNA, 493 nt
Filed under: uncultured bacterium
Lineage: Bacteria
Description: partial 16S ribosomal RNA
Rfam family: Bacterial small subunit ribosomal RNA
Source: RNAcentral
AUUGAACGCUGGCGGCAUGCCUUACACAUGCAAGUCGAACGGUAACAGGUUAAGCUGACGAGUGGCGAACGGGUGAGUAAUAUAUCGGAACGUGCCCAGUCGUGGGGGAUAACGUAGCGAAAGCUACGCUAAUACCGCAUACGAUCUACGGAUGAAAGCGGGGGAUCGCAAGACCUCGCGCGAUUGGAGCGGCCGAUAUCAGAUUAGGUUGUUGGUGAGGUAAAAGCUCACCAAGCCUGCGAUCUGUAGCUGGUCUGAUAGGACGACCAGCCACACUGGGACGGAGACACGGUCCAGACUCCUACGGGGGGCAGCAGUGGGGAAUUUUGGACAAUGGACGCAAGUCUGAUCCAGCAAUGCCGCGUGCAGGACGAAGGCCUUCGGGUUGUAAACUGCUUUUGUACGGAACGAAACGGUGAGCUCUAAUACAGUUUGCUAAUGACGGUACCGUAAGAAUAAGCACCGGCUAACUACGUGCCAGCAGCCGCCGUAA